GAUGAACGCUGGCGGCGUGCCUAACACAUGCAAGUCGAACGAAGCACCUUACCUGAUUCUUCGGAUGAAAGUUUGGUGACUGAGUGGCGGACGGGUGAGUAACGCGUGGGUAACCUGCCCUGUACAGGGGGAUAACAGCUGGAAACGGCUGCUAAUACCGCAUACGCGCACGAGGAGACAUCUCCUUGUGUGAAAAACUCCGGUGGUACAGGAUGGGCCCGCGUCUGAUUAGCUGGUUGGCAGGGUAACGGCCUACCAAGGCAACGAUCAGUAGCCGGUCUGAGAGGAUGAGCGGCGACAUUGGAACUGGGACACGGUCCAAACUCCUACGGGAGGCGGCAGUGGGGAAUAUUGCACAAUGGGGGAAACCCUGAUGCAGCAACGCCGCGUGAGUGAAGAAGUAUUGCGGUAUGUAAAGCUCUAUCAGCAGGGAAGAUAAUGACGGUACCUGACUAAGAAGCUCCGGCUAAAUACGUG
RNAcentral lists this ribosomal RNA (477 nucleotides) under uncultured bacterium. Its description in RNAcentral is "partial 16S ribosomal RNA". It matches the Rfam family "Bacterial small subunit ribosomal RNA", at positions 28 to 507 of the family's 1533-position model. The record is from RNAcentral.